Molecule: long non-coding RNA, 524 nt
Organism: Drosophila montana
Lineage: Eukaryota; Metazoa; Arthropoda; Insecta; Diptera; Drosophilidae
Exons: 2
Source: RefSeq, a predicted model, not a curated record
AAAAUUUUCCUCUCUAAAACACACAAAACUUUCCAUGUAAAAACUGUUUCAAAACAAAAGUCAAACAAAAAAAAAAACAUCAGCGGCAUUGAAAUGAGCGCGCGCGUUGCUCUCUCGCUCUCGCGUAUCGCCUCUCGCAACUGAACGAAAAGACGACGCAAAAGAGAAUGGCGUAAAAACAUUACCUAAUUGUUGUUAUUGUUUUUGUUUUGUUGCUUUUGUUUGAUAUUUGCGAGAAAAAUGGUUUGCUCAGUGGGGAGCAGUGGCGGCGGUUGCGUUGCUUGCCUUUCUCUCUUGGGACGUUCGUUGUGUGUGCUUCUGUGUGUGUAUAUAUGUGUGUGAGUGUGUGCGAAUAACACGCGCCCUGUUGCAUGCAAAAUUCAAAUUAAAAGGCAAUUGCAAUUGGUAAUUACAAACUGUCAAGAGGGACGUACAAAUGCACACGCUCCUGUUUUAUUUUUAUUUUUCGUUUUUUGGCAAUUUGCUUUCAGUAUUUGUUUAGAAUAAAUAUAAAUUACGUCACA